CGUCGGGAAACCACUCGCCUAACGAGUGGGCGUCCGGCGGAAACUACAGGGCUUAGGACCGGAAGACUUGAGGGGUACGUCUGGGGUAGGAGUGAAAUCCUGUAAUCCUGGACGGACCGCCGAUAGCGAAAGCACCUCAAGACGACGGAUCCGACAGUGAGGGACGAAAGCUAGGGUCUCGAACCGGAUUAGAUACCCGG
Molecule: ribosomal RNA, 200 nt
Filed under: uncultured archaeon
Lineage: Archaea
Description: partial 16S ribosomal RNA
Rfam family: Archaeal small subunit ribosomal RNA
Source: RNAcentral